Long non-coding RNA from Oreochromis aureus, 424 nucleotides. The record is from Ensembl. Lineage: Eukaryota; Metazoa; Chordata; Actinopteri; Cichliformes; Cichlidae.
CCGGAGAAGGCAUCAGGUCAUCCACUGCACUGGCCUGCACCACGAUUAGUAUAAGGCACAUUUCACGAAGCAGAACGCAGUCUUCAGAGAUAUCCACGUGAACGCUGUGAUACGUCUGACCUUCAGUCCGAAGAAGAAACCCAGACCAGUCUUAAAAGAAAGCACAAACCAAAUCCCCUGUACACAUAUACGGACUCAGAGGAUGAGCAGCCUACAAAAAAACGAGUGAAAAUACCAGCCCUCAUCACUCCGCAGUCUGCCCCCCAGCCCACUGAUAGCAACCAUCAUAAUGCCCCACCCAGCUUCCGGCACCUUUCGCCACUCCGGCACAAACCGACACAGCUUUGCGAUCUCGCCAGCAUGCAGAGUCUGAUGUCUUCCCUAUAGAUGAUUCCAGAGACUCUGUGAGGCCACUAUUACAAGG